AUAACUCAAACAUUGUUUCAUGUUUUGAGAGAUGAAGAAAAGGAUGAUCUUCGCAGUUUUCUUCUUGAUCCAAAAUGGUACUUGGGAGAUUGUGUUGAUGGUUCUAUCAUAAGAAAUUGCAAGAAGCUUCCCAUUUAUAAAGUUUAUGGUGGAGGAUCUGUUCAGGACAUUCAUUUCUCAGAUCUAGAAAAUCCUCAAAAGUACUUGCCGCCAUUAAAUGUCCCUAACAAUUUUCUGGGUUCUGAGUUUAUUAUGACUUCCUCAAAUAGUGAGGAAGAGAUUUUGGUGAGAUAUUAUGGAAUUGAGAGAAUGGGGAGGGCACACUUCUACAGGCAUCGGGUUUUUGAAGAUAUCAGGGAGUUGCAACCUGAAGUUCGUGACAGUAUUAUGCUUUCUGUUUUGCAGAACCUUCCACAAUUUUGUUUAGAGGACGCAACUUUCAAGGAACAUUUGAAAAAUUUGGAAUUUGUGCCCACCUUUAGUGGUGCUGUUAAGUGUCCUUCAGUGCUAUAUGAUCCUCGCAAUGAAGAGUUAUCUGCUUUAUUGGAUGACUCUAAUAACUUCCCUUCUGGUUCUUUCCAAGAACCUGAUAUUCUAGACAUGCUACACAGUUUGGGUCUCAGAACAUCUGUUUCUCCUGAGACUGUCCUGGAAAGUGCUCGACAAGUCGAGCAACUAAUGCAUGAGGAUCAACAAAAAGCACAUUCCAGAUCUAAAGUGCUUCUUUCCUACUUAGAAGUAAAUGCGAUUAAGUGGUUACCCAACCAAUUAAAUGAUGAUCAAGGAACUGUCAAUAAAAUCUUUUCACGGGCUGCAACUGCAUUUAGACCUCGCAACAUGAAAUCUGACCUCGAAAAGUUCUGGAAUGAUCUGCGGAUGAUUUGCUGGUGCCCUGUGAUGGUUUCUCCUCCAUUUCAGACUUUGCCAUGGCCUGCUGUGUCAUCGACAGUUGCUCCACCUAAGCUUGUUAGGUUACAAACAGACUUGUGGCUUGUUUCAGCUAGCAUGAGAAUACUGGAUGGUGAAUGCUCUUCUACUGCAUUAUCAUAUAACCUUGGGUGGUUAUCUCCACCAGGAGGAAAUGCACUUGCUGCUCAAUUACUAGAGCUUGGAAUGAACAAUGAGAUUGUGAAGGAUCAGCUACUUCGACAGGAAUUAGCCUUGGCAAUGCCAAGGAUAUACUCAAUAAUGAUGAGCUUGAUUGGUUCGGAUGAAAUGGAUAUUGUGAAGGCUGUUCUUGAAGGGUCUCGUUGGAUUUGGGUGGGAGAUGGAUUUGCUACCAUAGAUGAGGUUGUUCUUGAUUGUCCUCUUCAUUUGCCUCCCUAUAUUCGUGUUGUACCCAUUGAUUUAGCUGUUUUCAAAGACUUAUUUUUGGAGCUUGGAGUUCGAGAGCAUUUUAAGCCCAUUGAUUAUGCUAAUAUUUUGGUUAGAAUGGCUUUGAGGAAAGUUUCCUGUCCUCUGGAUGUGCAAGAAAUAAGGGCAGUGAUACUGAUCGUUCAGCAUCUGGCUGAAGUUCAGUUUCAUGAAGAAGAAGUCAAGAUUUAUUUACCGGACAUUUCAGGAAGACUAUUGCCUGCUGGUGAUUUAGUUUAUAAUGAUGCUCCCUGGUUGCUUGGCGCAGAUGAUGCUGAUAGCUCAUUUCGAGCAUCUUCUGUGGCCUUAAAUGCAAAAAGAACAGUUCAAAAAUUUGUCCAUGGGAAUAUCUCUAAUGAAGUUGCAGAGAAGCUUGGUGUCUGCUCACUUCGUAGGAUCUUACUUGCUGAAAGUGCUGAUUCUAUGAAUUUUGGUUUGUCUGGUGCUGCUGAAGCCUUUGGACAGCAUGAAGCUUUGACAACUAGACUCAAACAUAUACUUGAGAUGUAUGCAGAUGGUCCUGGGACUCUUUUUGAACUGGUUCAAAAUGCUGAGGAUGCUCGGGCUUCAGAAGUGAUAUUUCUUUUGGAUAAAACUCAAUAUGGGACUUCUUCUGUUCUCUCUCCUGAAAUGGCAGAUUGGCAAGGUCCUGCAUUGUAUUGUUUCAAUGACUCAGUUUUCAGUCCACAAGAUCUCUAUGCAAUCUCACGUAUUGGUCAAGAAAGCAAACUGGAAAAGCCUUUUGCAAUUGGAAGAUUUGGGCUUGGGUUUAAUUGCGUUUAUCAUUUUACUGACAUACCUGCGUUUGUUUCUGGGGAAAACAUUGUUAUGUUUGAUCCUCAUGCCUGUCAUCUGCCUGGGAUCUCUCCUUCCCAUCCUGGCUUAAGAAUUAAAUUUGUUGGGAGAAAGAUUUUGGAGCAAUUUCCUGAUCAGUUCUCUCCAUUCUUACACUUUGGCUGUGAUAUGCAGCAUCCCUUUCCUGGUACCCUCUUUCGUUUUCCUCUUAGAAGCUCUUCUAUUGCCCUGCGUAGCCUGAUAAAGAACGAAGGAUAUGCACCUGAAGAUGUCAUGUCUCUCCUUGCUUCCUUUUCAGAGGUUGUUUAUGAUGUUUUGCUUUUUCUCCGCAAUGUGAAAAGCAUCUCUAUUUUUGUGAAGGAAGGAAAUGGUUAUGAAAUGCAACUCCUGCAUCGUGUGCACAGAAAUUGCAUCAUGGAGCCAAAUAUGGUGUCAAAUGUAUCAAAUGAUGUAUUUAGUCUUAUCAAUGGAAGUCAAUAUAAUGGGCUGGGUAAGGAUCAGUUGCUGAAAAAGUUGAGCAAAUCCAUAGACAGGGAUUUGCCAUAUAAAUGCAAGAAGAUUGUGGUGACAGAACAAAGACCUUCUGGUGUUUUGUCACACUGUUGGAUAGUCUGUGAGUGUUUAGGCAGUGGGCUAGCCAAGAACACCUCUGCAGCUGCUGGUGACAAAUCUCAUAAAUCAAUUCCAUGGGCUUGUGUUGCCGCAUAUAUACACUCUGUGAAGAGGGAUGGGGAAGUAAGCGAUAUCUUCAACACAGAAGAUGCCUGUACUGAAAUAUUUCAAGUUUCUGCAACUUCCAUUCAACAAAGGAAAAACUUUGAGGGGCGUGCCUUCUGCUUUUUACCACUUCCCAUCAGUACUGGGCUUCCAGCACAUAUUAAUGCAUAUUUUGAAUUAUCAUCCAACAGGAGAGACAUCUGGUUUGGUAAUGACAUGGCAGGAGGUGGAAAAAAACGGUCGGACUGGAACAUGUACAUCCUUGAAGCUGUUGUUGCCCCUGCUUAUGGCCACUUGCUUGAGAAAAUUGCACAGGAGAUUGGCCCUUGUGAUCUGUUCUUUUCAUAUUGGCCAACGGCAAUGGGCUUGGAGCCUUGGGCAUCAGUGGUACGGAAACUAUACAUUUUUAUUGCUGAAUCUGGUCUACGUGUUUUAUAUACAAAAGCUAGAGAGGGCCAGUGGGUUGCUGCCAAACAAGUGAUUUUUCCUGAUUUGAGCUUUCAUAUGGCACAUGAACUUGUAGAAGCAUUAUCAGAUGCUGGUCUACCUCUUGUGACUGUUUCCAAGCCACUUGUACAGAGAUUUAUGGAGGCCUGUCCAUCACUGAACUUUCUGACACCACAGUUGUUAAGAACACUGCUGAUUCGGCGAAAACGUGGAUUUAAGGAAAGAAGUUCAAUGAUCUUGACCCUUGAAUAUUGUUUACUUGAUUUAAAAGUUCCCAUUCAACCUGAUAGUUUGUAUGGUUUAGCAUUGUUGCCGCUUGCUAAUGGUUCAUUUGCUACGUUUGGAAAGAAUGGGGCUGAUGAAAGAAUUUAUAUUUCACGGGGGGAUGAAUAUGGUCUCCUCAAGGAUUCAAUUCCACACCAGCUUGUGGACAAUGGAAUUCCAGAAGUUGUUUAUGGAAAGCUGUGCAGCAUAGCUGAGAGCGAGAAAUCAAAUAUUUCUUUCCUGUCUUGCUCUUUACUUGAGAAGCUCCUUGUGAAAUUACUUCCAGUUGAGUGGCAGCUUUCGAAAAAGGUGAACUGGGCACCUGGUAAUCAGGGUCAACCAAGUAUAGAAUGGAUAAGAUGUCUUUGGAGCUAUCUAAAGUCAUGCUGCGAUGAUCUGUCAAUAUUUUCUAACUGGCCAAUAUUACCUGUUGGAGACAAUUAUCUUUUGCAGUUAAUUCCAAAUUCUAAUGUUAUUACAGACGAUGGGUGGAGUGAAAACAUGUCUUCAUUGUUGCUGAAAGUAGGAUGCUUAUUCUUGAGGCGUGACCUACAAAUAGAACAUCCAGGGCUGGAAAAAUUUGUGCAGUCUCCAACGGCGGCAGGCAUAUUAAAUGCAUUUCUGGCAAUUGCUGGUAAGCCAGAGAAGAUUGAAUCGCUUUUCACUGAUGCAUCAGAGAGGGAGCUACAUGAACUGCAGAGUUUUGUUCUUCAGUCAAAGUGGUUCUUUGAAGAGCAGAUGGAUGGCGCAUGUAUUGACGUCAUCAAACACCUUCCCGUAUUUGAGUCUUACAGAAGUAGAAAACUAGUUAGUCUGAGUAAACCUACCAAAUGGCUUAAACCAAGUGGUGUUCGGGAGGAUCUCCUGGGUGAUGAUUUUGUUCGCACUGAAUCAGAAAGAGAGAGAAUUAUUCUGCAAAGGUACUUAGACAUCAAAGAGCCAUCAACAGUGGAAUUUUAUAAAGUUUACGUACUUAACCGGAUGUCAGAAUUCCUUUCACAGCAGGAAGCUCUUGUGGCCAUUCUAAAUGAUGUGAGGCUUUUGACUGACCAAGAUUUUUCCAUCAAAUCAGCACUUUGCACGGCACCUUUUGUUUUAGCUGCCAAUGGAACUUGGCAACAGCCAUCUAGGCUGUAUGAUCCCCGUGUUCCUGAACUACAAAAGGUGCUCCAUAGUGGUUUUUUCCCUUCUAAGGAAUUCUCAGAUCCUGAAACUCUGGAGACUUUAGUCAGCCUUGGGCUUAAAAGAACUCUGGGUUUAAGUGGUUUUCUUGAUUGUGCUAGAUCAGUAUCGAUGUUACAUGAUUCUGGUAACUCAGAAGCAGUGAGUUAUGGGCGGAGGUUAGUUAUCUGUUUGGAUGCUCUUGCACAUAAGCUCUCGGCAGAGGAGAAAGAAGGCAAUUGCAAUCAGUUGCAGGGUAUUUUGGUUUGCCAGGAUAAUUGUAUUGCAAAUGGUGAGGGUGUGUACCUCAAUUCUCUUGAAAGAGGUGAGAAUCACUUAAAAAAUGCUCUGGACAUUGAAUAUCUUUUGACUGACUUGGUUGAUGAUAUGCCAGAAGAAGAAUUUUGGUCUGAAAUGAAGGCUAUUGACUGGUGUCCUGUUUGUGUUGAUCCACCCCUACAAGGACUGCCAUGGUUAAAAUCUAACAAGCGAGUAGCAUCUCCAAAUCUUGUGAGACCUAAAUCACAGAUGUGGAUGGUGUCCUGUGUAAUGCAUAUACUAGAUGGUGAAUGCAACUCAAAUUACCUACAGAAGAGACUUGGUUGGAUGGAUUGUCCAAAGGUUGAUGUUUUAUCAAUGCAAUUGAUUGAACUAUCCAAAUCCUACAAUCAACUAAAGCUAAAUUCUUCUGUGAGACUGGAUUUUGAUGCUGCACUGCAGAAGGGAAUCCCAACACUUUAUUCUAAAUUGCAAGAAUAUAUUGGUGCCAGUGAUUUCUCAGAGUUGAAAUCAGCUUUAGAUGGUGGUUCCUGGGUUUGGAUUGGUGAUGAUUUUGUAUCCCCUAGUGAUCUUGCAUUUGAUUCACCAGUGAAAUUUACCCCUUAUUUGUAUGUUGUUCCAUCUGAGUUAUCAGAAUUUAGAGAAUUGCUCUUGGAAUUAGGUGUGAAGCUUAGUUUUGAUAUUUGGGAUUACUUUCAUGUUCUGCAACGCUUACAGAAUAAUGUGAAGGGGUGCCCCCUCUCAACUGAUCAGUUAUUUUUUGUCCAUUGCGUCCUUGAAGCUGUUGCAGACUGUUGCUCAGACAACUUAUUGUUUGAGGUUUCCAAUACAUCAUUAUUAAUUCCGGAUUCUUCUGGAGUUCUAAUGUGUUCUGGGGAUCUUGUUUAUAAUGAUGCACCAUGGAUGGAAAAUAGUGCGCUGGUUGGGAAACAUUUUGUACAUUCUAGUAUCAGCAAUGAUUUGGCGAAUAGAUUGGGGGUGAAAUCACUUCGCUGCCUCUCGUUGGUUGAUGAAGAUAUGACUAAAGAUUUGCCUUGCAUGGAUUUUACGAAGAUAAAUGAACUGCUGGCAUUGUAUGGGAACAACGAUUUUUUGUUGUUUGACCUUCUUGAAUUAGCAGAUUGCUGCAAAGCUAAGAAGUUACACCUAAUUUUUGACAAGAGGGAGCAUCCUCGUCAGUCUUUGCUGCAGCACAAUUUAGGUCAAUUUCAAGGGCCCGCUCUAGUUGCCAUUUUGGAAGGUGUCAGCUUGAAUAGAGAGGAAGUUAGCAGCCUUCAGCUUCUCCCUCCUUGGAAACUUCGGAGCAAUACUCUUAACUAUGGCUUGGGACUUCUUAGCUGUUACUUUAUAUGUGAUUUCUUGUCAGUUAUAUCUGGCGGCCACUUUUAUAUGUUUGAUCCUCGUGAUCUGGCACUUGGUGUGUCUUCAAGUCAUACUCCCACAGCAAAAAUGUUUUCUCUGAUAGGUACAAAUUUGACCAAGCGAUUUUGUGAUCAAUUUAAUCCGAUGCUGAUUGGUGAAAAAACUUCAUGGUCAUCAUUAGAUUCCACUAUUAUCCGCAUGCCUCUAUCAUCAGAAUGUCUUAAGGAUGGACUUGAGUUGGGAUUGAGGAGGGUAAAGCAAAUAUAUGAUCGAUUCAUAGAGAAUGCUUCUGGAAUGCUUAUUUUCUUGAAGUCAGUCUUGCAGGUCUCUUUCUCAACAUGGGAUGAAGGAAGUGAACAACUAUGCCAGGAUUAUUCGGUUUGUGUUGACUCAUCAUCUGCUACCAUAAGGAACCCAUUUUCAGAAAAGAAGUGGAGGAAGUUCCAAAUAUCAAGGUUAUUUAGCAGCUCAAAUUCUGCAGUUAAAUUGCAUGUGAUAGAUGUGAACUUGUAUGAAGGAGCUACUGCUGCUAGAGUUGUUGACCGCUGGCUUGUUGUGCUUAGCCUUGGCUGUGGGCAAACUAGAAAUAUGGCUCUGGAUAGGAGAUAUCUUGCAUACAACUUGACACCUGUUGCUGGAGUUGCAGCUCACAUAUCAAGAGAUGGCCGUCCUGCUGAUGUGCAUCUGAAAAGCUGUGUUAUGUCUCCUCUUCCUUUGUCCAGCAGUGUAACUCUACCUGUCAUUGUUCUUGGAUGUUUCCUUGUAUGUCACAAUGGUGGCCGUUCUCUCUUCAAGUACCAGGAUAGGGGAACUUCAAUGGAGGCACAAACUGAUGCCGGAGAUCAGUUGGUUGAAGCUUGGAAUAGAGAAUUGAUGUCUUGUGUUCGUGAUUCUUACAUUGAAAUGGUGAUGGAAAUGCAUAAAUUAAGAAGAGAACCAUCAAGUUCAACUAUUGAAUCAAGUGGAGGUCGUGCUGUUUCUCUGUCUUUGAGGGCCCAUGGUGAUCUAAUUUAUUCCUUCUGGCCAAGGUCUAAUAGGCAUGCACCAAUUAAUCAACCUGGAGAUGGAAAUAACUUAGCACAAAUAAGAGUACUUAAAGCAGAUUGGGAAUGUCUGAUUGAACAAGUAAUAAGGCCAUUUUAUGCUCGUGUUGCUGAUCUCCCUGUUUGGCAGCUUUAUUCAGGAAGCUUGGUCAGGUCUGAAGAGGGUAUGUUUCUUUCACAACCUGGAAAUGGGGUAGCUAGUAAUUUACUUCCAGCUACUGUUUGUAGUUUUGUGAAGGAACAUUAUCCAGUGUUUUCCGUACCUUGGGAGCUUGUGACUGAAAUCCAGGCUGUGGGGGUUACAAUUCGAGAAAUUAAACCUAAAAUGGUUCGGGAUCUUCUAAGGAUGUCAUCGAUAUCUUUUGCUCUUCGAUCCAUUGAUACCUACUUGGACGUUCUCGAGUACUGCUUGUCUGAUAUUGAGAUUCCAGGAUCGUCUAAUUUUUACGAAGAAAAUGCAUCAGUGGACUCUGUAAACUUCAAUAUCAUGCAUAGAGCAGCUAAUGAGGUGGGCAACAGUUCUACUUCAGUAUCAAGGUCUAAUGUGCAGAAUGUUCAUGGGUUGCAAGACCAGAGUGCAUCCAGUUCAGGGGAUGCACUUGAACUAAUGACAAGUUUUGGGAAGGCAUUAUUUGAUUUUGGGCGAGGAGUUGUUGAAGAUAUUGGUAGGGCUGGAGGGCCCUUAAGUCAGAGGAACACCAUUUCAGAUGGCAGCAAUGGAAAUGGAAAUCCUAAGAUUCUACUGGUUGCUGGUGAGCUCAGGGGUUUACCGUGUCCAACUGCUACAAAUAAUUUAGCUCGGUUGGGAGUUAGUGAGCUUUGGCUUGGUGACAAGGAUCAACAGGCCCUAAUGAUGCCUUUAGCUGCAAAAUAUGUCCAUCCAAAACUGUUAGAUAGAUCCAUUCUGUCUGAUAUUUUCUCAAAAUGUGCUGCACAAUCAUUAUUAAAACUGAAUAGUUUCUCUCUUCACUUAUUGGCUGGUCAUAUGAGAUCACUCUUUCAUGAGAAUUGGGUGAAUCAUGUAAUGGGUUCAAAAAUGGCCCCAUGGUUUUCUUGGGAGAAUACAUCAACUUCUGUUGACGAAGGUGGUCCUUCGCAUGAAUGGAUAAGAUUGUUCUGGAAAUGUUUCACUGGUUCAUCAGAAGAGCUCUUACUGUUUGCUGAUUGGCCCCUAAUUCCUGCUUUUCUUGGUAGGCCCAUCUUAUGCCGUAUAAAGGAACGUCAUUUAGUCUUCAUGCCUCCCCCUUUUAAUAAUCCAGUCUCUGGGAACAGUGUUCUGGAUAUGGGUAGCUCAGGAAGUGAUAUGACUGGAUUGUCCAGGAAUCAUUCUCCUGAAUAUGACGUUCAGUUGUACAUUUCAGCUUUUGAACAAACCAAAAAUAGGUAUCCUUGGUUGGUUUCUCUGUUGAACCAGUGCAAUGUCCCGAUUUUUGAUGCUGCUUUCUUUGGCUGUGCUGCCUCAUGUAAUUGUGUCCCUUCACCCGGUCAGUCACUUGGGCAAGUUAUUGCUUCUAAGCUUGUUGCAGCUAAGCAUGCUGGCUAUUUUGCUGAACUUGCAUCAUUUUCAAGUUCAGAUCGAGAUGAACUUUUUAGUCUUUUUGCUUAUGAUUUCUUGUCUAAUGCCUCUAAAUAUGGAACUGAGGAGCUUGAAGUAUUGCAUUGCUUGCCUAUAUAUAAAACAGUCAAGGGAUCCUACAGCAAAUUGCUUGGUCAAGAUAAGUGUAUGAUAUCUUCUGAAUCAUUCCUAAAGCCAUUUGAUGAGCAUUGCCUUUCUUAUUCAACAGAUUCAAUUGAGUGUUCACUAUUACGAGCCCUGGGGGUUCCCGAAUUACAUGAUCCACAGAUUUUGAUAAGGUUUGGGUUGCCCGAAUUUGAAGGCAAACCUCAGUCUGAGCAGGAGGAUAUAUUAAUUUAUCUUUACACAAACUGGCAAGAUCUCCAGGCAGAUUCUUCUUUGCUUGAAGUUCUGAAGGAGACUAGAUUUGUAAGGAAUGCAGAUGAAUUCUCCACGGACCUCUCCAAGCCCAAGGAUCUGUUUGAUCCCUGUGAUGCUUUAUUAACUUCUGUAUUCUCUGGUGAGAGGAAGAGAUUUCCUGGAGAAAGGUUUAGUACAGAUGGUUGGCUUCGCAUUUUGAGGAAAACAGGCCUUCGAACUGCAGCUGAAGCAGAUGUAAUACUUGAAUGUGCCAAAAAGGUUGAGUUUUUGGGAGAACAGUGCAUAAAAUCGAAGGGGUCUUUUGAUGAUUUUGAGAGGGACUCUAAUGAUGAAGUUUCUGUGGAGAUAUGGGCAUUGGCUGCAUCGGUUGUUGAAGCUGUGAUCUCAAACUUUGCUGUCUUUUAUGGUAAUAAUUUCUGUAAUACCAUUUCUAAGAUUGCCUGUGUACCUGCUGAACUGGGAUUUCUCAAUGGUGGUAGCAAGAGAGUGCUUACUUCAUAUAGUGAAGCUAUUCUGUUGAAGGACUGGCCUUUGGCUUGGAGUUGUUCUCCCAUUCUUUCUAGACAAAAUGUUGUUCCACCUGAAUUCUCAUGGGGAGCACUCCACCUAAGGAGUCCUCCAUCUUUUUCUAUAGUCCUAAAACAUCUGCAGGUGAUUGGAAGAAAUGGUGGUGAAGACACACUUGCUCACUGGCCCACUGCAUCAAGCAUUAUGACAGUUGAUGAAGCAUCUUGUUCAGUGUUGAGAUAUCUGGAUAGGGUUUGGGGUUCCCUUUCUUCGUCAGAUAUAAAAGAAUUGCAGAGAGUGGCAUUUCUACCUGCUGCAAAUGGAACACGCUUGGUGACAGCAAAUUCUCUUUUUGUUCGCCUGACUAUUAACCUGUCGCCAUUUGCAUUUGAACUUCCUAGUUUGUAUCUUCCUUUUGUGAAAAUUCUGAAAGAGUUGGGACUUCAGGACGUGCUAUCAGUUGAUGCCGCAAAGGAUCUUCUAUUAAAUCUCCAAAAAGCUUGUGGAUAUCAGCGUUUAAAUCCAAAUGAACUCCGUGCUGUGAUGGGAAUCUUGUAUUUUCUUUGUGAUACGAUUAUUGAGGCAAAUGUGUCUGGUGGGAUCAAUUGGAAAUCAGAUGCAAUAGUCCCAGAUGAUGGUUGCAGACUUGUCCAUGCAAAAUCAUGUGUGUAUAUCGAUUCUUAUGGCUCUCAAUAUGUCAAAUAUAUUGACACGUCAAGGUUAAGAUUUGUUCACCAAGAUCUUCCAGAGAGAAUUUGUAUAGCUCUGGGCAUUAGGAAAGUGUCUGAUGUUGUCGUAGAGGAACUUGAUGAGGAUGAAGAUUUACAGACAUUGGAAUGUAUUGGGUCUGUCCCGCUAGUACUCAUCAGAGAGAAGCUGUCAAGCUUGUCAUUUCAGAGCUCUGUAUGGACUCUUGUAAAUAGCAUGGGUGGUGGUGUUCCUGCUACUGAUAAUUUAUCUUUGGAAAUCAUACAAAAUCUACUGGCAUGUGUUGCUGAAAAGUUGCAGUUUGUUAAAUUUCUCCAUACUCGAUUUGUGCUUCUUCCAAAGUGUCUUGAUAUCACCCUCACUGAUAAGAAUUCUGUUGUUCCAGAAUGGGAGGGUGGAUCCAAACACCGGAGUCUAUAUUUUGUAAACCGCUCAGAGACCUCUAUUUUGGUUGCUGAACCACCUACUUGUAUAUCCAUUCUUGAUGUUCUUGCGAUUGUUGUAAGCCAGGUUUUAGGCUUCCCUGCCCCACUACCUAUAGGAUCCCUGUUUUUAUGUCCUGGAGGUUCUGAAACUGCAAUUCUCAAUAUACUAAAAAUCCGUCUCAACAAGAGAGAAAUUGAAUAUACUAGUAAUAAAUUAGUAGGAAAUGAAAUACUGCCUCCAGAUGCUCUUCAAGUGCAACUUCAUCCUUUGAGACCUUUUUACAGUGGAGAAAUAGUGGCAUGGCAGUCUCAGAAUGGAGAGAAGUUGAAAUAUGGCAGAGUUCCAGAGGAUGUCAAACCAUCAGCUGGCCAAGCUCUUUACAGAUUCAAGGUGGAAACUGCACCAGGAGUGGUUGAGUAUCUUCUUUCAUCACAAGUCUUCUCAUUUAAAAGCGUAUCAAUGGGAAAUGAGGCUUCCUUAGCAACUCUGGCUGAUGAUAGUCGAUCUGUAGUUGAUAAGCAGGCUAUUGUCAAGAUGCCAGAAAGUUCAGGAAGGACCAAAACAAAAUCUCAUCAGGUUGGUAAAGAGCUCCUGUAUGGCCGAGUGUCAGCUGAAGAACUUGUGCAGGCUGUUCAUGAGAUGCUUUCUGCAGCAGGGAUCAACAUGGAUGACGAGAAGCAGUCUCUUCUGCAAAGAACGAUAACUCUGCAGGAACGGUUGAAAGAGUCUCAGGCAGCACUUUUACUUGAACAGGAAAAGUCUGAUGUGGCAGCAAAAGAAGCUGAUACAGCGAAAGCAGCAUGGGUUUGUCGAGUCUGUUUGAGUAAUGAAGUUGACAUGACGAUUGUUCCUUGUGGUCAUGUGCUUUGUCGUAGAUGCUCAUCUGCUGUUUCCAGAUGUCCAUUUUGUCGGCUUCAGGUCUCAAAAACCAUUAGAAUUUUCAGGCCAUGAUCGGGGAACUAGAUUUGUCAUACAUUUACACCGACAUUAUUGUGACCCUCAUUUUUUCAAAGUUGCAACGGUAUCACAUAUAGCUUCUGCGAGUGAAAUAGAAAAGCACUGUAAUAGUUGGUUAAAGAAACAGGAUUGAAACAUGAGGCAGCUUGUCAAUAUUACCUGUCUUACUUUCUCACUCGUGUGUAUUUAUUUUGCUGCCAUGUAUGGAAGAAAUUGAUAAAAGAUAGUGUAUAGUUUUACUCCAGUGUAUUCAUUUUCUUGUAGAUAACAAUAAUGAAAGAUUUUAUAUACAUUGUCACGAAAAACUUAAAAAGUAUUCUAGUGAUAAUUGUUGGAGCAAUUUUCCCAUUUUGC
This 12309-nucleotide unclassified non-coding RNA is filed under the name Hevea brasiliensis (rubber tree). Lineage: Eukaryota; Viridiplantae; Streptophyta; Magnoliopsida; Malpighiales; Euphorbiaceae. The record is from RNAcentral.